CAGCCGCCGCGGUAAUACCGGCGGCCCGAGUGGCGGUCACUAUUAUUGGGCUUAAAGCGUCCGUAGCCGGGUUGGGAAGUCCUCCGGGAAAUCUGGCCGCUUAACGGUCAGAAUGCCGGAGGAUACUCCCAGCCUAGGGAGCGGGAGAGGCCGAGGGUAUUCCCGGAGGAGGGGUGAAAUCCUAUAAUCCCGGGAGGACCACCUGUGGCGAAGGCGCUCGGCUGGAACGCGUCCGACGGUGAGGGACGAAGGCCAGGGGAGCAAACCGGAUUAGAUACCCGGGUAGUCCUGGCUGUAAACGAUGCGGACGUUGUGUCGGACAAGCUAUGAGCUUGUCCGGUGCCGGAGGGAAACCGUUAAGUCCGCCGCCUGGGGAGUACGGCCGCAAGGCUGAAACUUAAAGGAAUUGGCGGG
This 414-nucleotide ribosomal RNA is filed under the name uncultured microorganism. Its description in RNAcentral is "bacterial SSU rRNA". It matches the Rfam family "Archaeal small subunit ribosomal RNA", at positions 459 to 872 of the family's 1478-position model. The record is from RNAcentral.